This 354-nucleotide ribosomal RNA is filed under the name uncultured bacterium. RNAcentral describes it as "bacterial SSU rRNA". It matches the Rfam family "Bacterial small subunit ribosomal RNA", at positions 527 to 881 of the family's 1533-position model. The record is from RNAcentral.
GUAGGUGGCAAGCGUCGUCCGGAAUUAUUGGGCGUAAAGCGCGCGCAGGUGGUUUAAUAAGUCUGAUGUGAAAGCCCACGGCUCAACCGUGGAGGGUCAUUGGAAACUGUUAAACUUGAGUGCAGGAGAGAAAAGUGGAAUUCCUAGUGUAGCGGUGAAAUGCGUAGAGAUUAGGAGGAACACCAGUGGCGAAGGCGGCUUUUUGGCCUGUAACUGACACUGAGGCGCGAAAGCGUGGGGAGCAAACAGGAUUAGAUACCCUGGUAGUCCACGCCGUAAACGAUGAGUGCUAAGUGUUGGUCUCAUAAGAGAUCAGUGCUGCAGCUAACGCAUUAAGCACUCCGCCUGGGGAGU